Non-coding RNA from Brassica rapa (field mustard), 136 nucleotides. RefSeq annotates it as microRNA MIR9560b. The record is from RefSeq and is marked provisional. Lineage: Eukaryota; Viridiplantae; Streptophyta; Magnoliopsida; Brassicales; Brassicaceae.
ACUAUCUUAUUUUAAGCUUAAGUGUGUAUUGACAGGUGGUGGAACAAAUAUGAGUUUUUGAACAUUAGUCAAACAAAAUUAAACUCAUAUUAGUUCUACCUCCUGCUGAAGCCCACAUUAAUCUGAAUAAGAUUUG